Molecule: ribosomal RNA, 253 nt
Filed under: uncultured prokaryote
Description: partial 16S ribosomal RNA
Rfam family: Bacterial small subunit ribosomal RNA
Source: RNAcentral
UACGAAGGGGGCGAGCGUUGUUCGGAAUUAUUGGGCGUAAAGGGCGCGUAGGCGGUGCGGUAAGUCUAUGGUGAAAUCCCCGGGCUCAACCUGGGAACUGCAUUUGUGACUGUAGAGCUGGAGUACGGCAGAGGGGGAUGGAAUUCCGCGUGUAGCAGUGAAAUGCGUAGAUAUGCGGAGGAACACCGAUGGCGAAGGCAAUCCCCUGGGCCUGUACUGACGCUCAUGCACGAAAGCGUGGGGAGCAAACAGG